This is a long non-coding RNA of Heterocephalus glaber (naked mole-rat), 368 nucleotides long. The record is from Ensembl. NCBI's taxonomy places the organism in Eukaryota, Metazoa, Chordata, Mammalia, Rodentia, Bathyergidae.
GGAAGGCAAAUUUGACUUUGUGUUUUGUCGCUCUGGGGUAAAACAGGAAGGAUAGGGUCCCCUGAGCCAGGAUCGGUGACAGCUGCGGAUCUUGCCUCUCUCCGCGCUCAGAAAUGCAGUGCUCUGUCGCCACCUGGUGGGAGGAGCAGAUAAUACGAGGGGUGGCCCCUUCGGAUGCGACCACUCACCCUACCACAGAGAGAAUGUUCCCAUUCCAACCCAGAGGAAGAGGCAUCAAUGGCCUGCAUGGUGUUGUGGAACCCACAGUGACUCUCCAUACAGACUGUCCCUGAGGUACAGAAGGAUGAGGGCCCUGGGAGAGGCCACAGAGGGGGACAGGCCACCUUGCCAGCCAACUGGAGUGAAAC